This 401-nucleotide ribosomal RNA is filed under the name uncultured bacterium. RNAcentral's name for it is "bacterial SSU rRNA". It matches the Rfam family "Bacterial small subunit ribosomal RNA", at positions 356 to 774 of the family's 1533-position model. The record is from RNAcentral.
CGGGAAUUUUGGGCAAUGGGCGGAAGCCUGACCCAGCAACGCCGCGUGAGGGAUGAAGUAUUUCGGUAUGUAAACCUCGAAAGAAUGGGAGGAAUAAAUGACGGUACCAUUUAUAAGCUCCGGCUAACUACGUGCCAGCAGCCGCGGUAAUACGUAGGGAGCAAGCGUUGUUCGGAUUUACUGGGCGUAAAGGGCGCGUAGGCGGCGCGGUAAGUCACUUGUGAAAUCUCUGAGCUUAACUCAGAACGGCCAAGUGAUACUGCUGUGCUAGAGUGCGGAAGAGGCAACCGGAAUUCUUGGUGUAGCGGUGAAAUGCGUAGAUAUCAAGAGGAACACCUGAGGCGAAGGCGGGUUGCUGGGCCGACACUGACGCUGAUGCGCGAAAGCCAGGGGAGCAAACG